GCAAACUUGGUCAUUUAGAGGAAGUAAAAGUCGUAACAAGGUUUCCGUAGGUGAACCUGCGGAAGGAUCAUUAAUGAGUUGCCUCGUACCAGACCCAGGUUGGUCGGUAAUCUCUCAACCCUGCUUAUAUCUACCUUACGUUGUCUCGGUGUUACCAGUACAAAACGUUUCGACGUUAGCUACGACCGGGGGCCUGUCCCUUGGUUAGAGUCGCCGAUGGCCUCCUUUAAAAACCUUUUAUAAAUCUUGUCUGAAUAUCUGUGGGCUUAAAUUGACAUAAAACUUUCAACAACGGAUCUCUUGGUUCUGGCAUCGAUGAAGAACGCAGC
Molecule: unclassified non-coding RNA, 329 nt
Filed under: uncultured fungus
Lineage: Eukaryota; Fungi
Description: partial contains small subunit ribosomal RNA, internal transcribed spacer 1, and 5.8S ribosomal RNA
Rfam family: Eukaryotic small subunit ribosomal RNA (bases 1-73)
Source: RNAcentral